AAUGAGUUUAGGAAACGUCGACGCUAAUCGUUUUGGUGACCGAUCGAUUCGCCGCUCACCGAUUCGUUAUAUACUGUAUCACCAUUGAAUUUAUAAUCUAAAAACUGAAGAGUGAUGUUCAGAUUGUUUGAUGAUUGAUGAAACAAAUCGGUCCGUCGGCGUCGAUUCGGUAUCGUGUGACGGUGAAACGAUACUAUGGUGACGAUAUGAACGAGAUAGGUAUUUAUUUUGAUACCCAGUGGUUAAAGUGGGACGGAGAGAGUCUUCUUUAUUAUUUAAUUUAAAACUAUAAGUCUCCUCUAAUGUAAGUCCUCGAAGGCCGGAGGGUCGCUUUAGUUAUUGGGACUGAAAUAUUUAGUGCAGUUUUAAAAACUUGAAUAUCUAUUAGAUUACCUAUGUACAAUCAGACUUUUUACUAAAAACUGUUUUUACUAAACAGGCAUAUGUGUAGGAUAAUAUUUAAAAGGAGGAGUUGUGUAAUACUGGAAUUUACUUUUAAAUUCUAAAAGUACAUAAUUUUUAUAAACACGUGUAUGUGUGAGAGAAAAACAUUUUGGAAGUCACGUCUCCAUGAUGGGGUUCCUGAAAGUUCUCGGGAAAGCCAUUCAAUUUUCAGUAAAUAUCCGCCUUCAAAAUUUGUUCUCACUUUUACCACUAAAUCGAUGCCUUUUUCUACACUUCAAUAUUUUAAACAACAAGUUUUGCAUAUACAAUGUUAUUAAUUAUAAUGUACAAAAUAUACACAAUUUAUUUAAUGAUAAAGGUUUUAGAUUUUUAGAUAUUAGAAGUAUUCAUUCAAUUAUUCUCCUACGGACGUUUAGCGGAACGAAGUUUCAUAUACGGAUACGAGUAGUUUGAAAA
Molecule: non-coding RNA, 861 nt
Organism: Cinara cedri
Lineage: Eukaryota; Metazoa; Arthropoda; Insecta; Hemiptera; Aphididae
Source: the annotation of a GenBank genome assembly